AUGAACAUUGCCCUCCUCUCCCGCUGGCUCUGGCGCAUCUCACAAGGGCAUGGCGGUCUGUGGUUAGACAUCAUCCAGAAUAAAUACUUGCGUGGCCAACCUCUGGCCUUCUGCCAACGGUCGGGUGGGUCCCAGUUCUGGCAGUCGGUCAUCCAACUGCUCCCCGUCCUCCGCAUUGGGACUUCCAUCUCGGUCGGAUCGGGAGCAGCGACCUUGUUCUGGUUUGACCGAUGGGCGGGUGACGCCCCCUUCGCGACCCGCUUUCCCGACCUCUUCUCCAUCGCUGUCGUCCCUACAAUCUCAGUUCAACAGGCCCUUAUUGACUUAGGGCGCCUCGCGUUCCGGAGGCCAUUUGGGCCUCCGGAAGUGGCCGCCUGGCAUGAGCUUCUUGAUUGUAUUGCUCUCCAUGAGCCGACUGUCGAUGCUGGCCCGGAUGAGGUUCAGUGGCGCCUUGAGCCUUCGGGUCAAUUCUCCACCAAGUCCCUGUACGCGGCUAUCGCCCCUUCCUCCGCCCCUCCAGACGGUUUGGUCCAUUCGCCUGCCCCUUAA
RNAcentral lists this ribosomal RNA (549 nucleotides) under Triticum aestivum (bread wheat). RNAcentral describes it as "partial small subunit ribosomal RNA". The record is from RNAcentral. Lineage: Eukaryota; Viridiplantae; Streptophyta; Magnoliopsida; Poales; Poaceae.